This 497-nucleotide ribosomal RNA is filed under the name uncultured bacterium. Its description in RNAcentral is "partial 16S ribosomal RNA". It matches the Rfam family "Bacterial small subunit ribosomal RNA", at positions 28 to 507 of the family's 1533-position model. The record is from RNAcentral.
GAUGAACGCUGGCGGCGUGCCUAAUACAUGCAAGUCGAGCGAACAGAUGAGGAGCUUGCUCCUCUGACGUUAGCGGCGGACGGGUGAGUAACACGUGGAUAACCUACCUAUAAGACUGGGAUAACUUCGGGAAACGGGAGCUAAUACCGGAUAAUAUAUUGAACCGCAUGGUUCAAUAGUGAAAGACGGUUUUGCUGUCACUUAUAGAUGGAUCCGCGCCGCAUUAGCUAGUUGGUAAGGUAACGGCUUACCAAGGCAACGAUGCGUAGCCGACCUGAGAGGGUGAUCGGCCACACUGGAACUGAGACACGGUCCAGACUCCUACGGGAGGCAGCAGUAGCGAAUCUUCCGCAAUGGGCGAAAGCCUGACGGAGCAACGCCGCGUGAGUGAUGAAGGUCUUCGGAUCGUAAAACUCUGUUAUUAGGGAAGAACAAAUGUGUAAGUAACUAUGCACGUCUUGACGGUACCUAAUCAGAAAGCCACGGCUAACUACGUG